RNAcentral lists this ribosomal RNA (451 nucleotides) under uncultured bacterium. RNAcentral's name for it is "bacterial SSU rRNA". It matches the Rfam family "Bacterial small subunit ribosomal RNA", at positions 8 to 465 of the family's 1533-position model. The record is from RNAcentral.
AGAGUUGACAUGGCUCAGAUUGACGCUGUUGACAGGCCUAACACAUGCAAGUCGAGCGGUAGAGAGGAGCUUGCUCCUCUUGAGAGCGGCGGACGGGUGAGUAAUACCUGGGAAUCUGCCUGGUACGGGGGAUAACGUUCGGAAACGGACGCUAAUACCGCAUACGUCCUACGGGAGAAAGCACGCGAUCUCCGGACCUUGCGCUAUCAUAUGAGCCCAGGUCGGAUUAGCUUGUUGGUGAGGUAACGGCUCACCAAGGCUGCGAUCCGUAACUGGUCUGAGAGGAUGAUCAGUCUCACUGGAACUGAGACACGGUCCAGACUCCUACGGGAGGCAUCAGCGGGGAAUAUUGCACAAUGGGGGAAACCCUGAUGCAGCCAUGCCGCGUGUGUGAAGAAGGCCUUCUGGUUGUAAAGCACUUUCAGUGGUGAGGAAGGCGUUGUCGUUAAUA